This 403-nucleotide ribosomal RNA is filed under the name uncultured bacterium. RNAcentral's name for it is "partial 16S ribosomal RNA". It matches the Rfam family "Bacterial small subunit ribosomal RNA", at positions 28 to 526 of the family's 1533-position model. The record is from RNAcentral.
GACGAACGCUGGCGGCGUGCCUAAUACAUGCAAGUCGAACGCAGUGGGGACGGGUGAGUAACACGUGGGUAACCUCCCAUCAGAGGGGAUAACACUUGGAAACAGGUGCUAAACCGAUACUGAUGGAUGGACCCGCGGUGCAUAAGCUAGUGGGUGAGGUAACGGCUUCCCAAGGCCACGAUGCAUAGCGGACCUGAGUGGUGGACCGGCCACACUGUGAUGGAGACACGGCCCAGACGCCGACGGGAGGCAGCAGUAGGGAAGCUUCGGCAAUGGACGAAAGUCGUACCGAGCAACGCCGCGUGAGUGAAGAAGGUUUUCGGAUCGUAAAACUCUGUUGUUAGAGAAGCGGUAUCUAACCAGAAAGCCACGGCUAACUACGUGCCAGCAGCCGCGGUAAUUC